RNAcentral lists this small nuclear RNA (23 nucleotides) under Arabidopsis thaliana (thale cress). RNAcentral's name for it is "snRNA_08555". Lineage: Eukaryota; Viridiplantae; Streptophyta; Magnoliopsida; Brassicales; Brassicaceae. The record is from RNAcentral.
CCCUCGCGGGUGCACCGCCGACC